ACGGGUGAGUAACGCGUGGGAACCUACCCAGAACUUCGGAAUAACACAUGGAAACGUGUGCUAAUACCGGAUACGCCCUACGGGGGAAAGAUUUAUCGGUUUUGGAUGGGCCCGCGUAAGAUUAGCUAGUUGGUGAGGUAAUGGCUCACCAAGGCGACGAUCUUUAGCUGGUCUGAGAGGAUGAUCAGCCACACUGGGACUGAGACACGGCCCAGACUCCUACGGGAGGCAGCAGUGGGGAAUAUUGGACAAUGGGCGCAAGCCUGAUCCAGCCAUGCCGCGUGAGUGAUGAAGGCCUUAGGGUUGUAAAGCUCUUUCAGUAGGGAAGAUAAUGACGGUACCUACAGAAGAAGCCCCGGCUAACUUCGUGCCAGCAGCCGCGGUAAUACGAAGGGGGCUAGCGUUGCUCGGAUUUACUGGGCGUAAAGCGCACGUAGGCGGAUCGUUAAGUUAGGGGUGAAAUCCUGGAGCUCAACUCCAGAACUGCCUCUAAUACUGGCGAUCUAGAGUCCGGAAGAGGUGAGUGGAACUCCUAGUGUAGAGGUGGAAUUCGUAGA
RNAcentral lists this ribosomal RNA (557 nucleotides) under uncultured bacterium. RNAcentral describes it as "bacterial SSU rRNA". It matches the Rfam family "Bacterial small subunit ribosomal RNA", at positions 102 to 694 of the family's 1533-position model. The record is from RNAcentral.